AUGCCUUCCUGGAACGACGAGGAAACGAGCUCCGACAAGGACAGCGAGGUCGUCAGCAUGGUCAUGGGACUGAUGGAGGAACCGGACACCAUUGUGGAGCCCGUUUUCUGUGGCCAACUUGAGCUUGCUGAACCCAAGUGCAUUCUGCAUCAAAUGAGGCAUGUUAAGCGUGUUGCUUUUGAAGGCAUUGCAAAUGGUGUGAAUUGUGGUGUUGUAGAGUGGGUUGAUGGGCAUUGGCCUCCAGUUCUUCAGAGAUGUUUGUCGAAGCUAUGGGAAAUGUUCCAUGAGCAGAAUUGUGGAAGGGUACUUGACAAAGAUAAGUUUGAGAAGGAGUUGGCCAAGGUUAAGAGUGAACAUGAAAGGGAGUUGGACAAGCUUAAGAUGGAAAUGACAAUUUGUGCAUUGAGUACACCAAGCUUGUCGAUGAUGUAUCCAAGAUGUUUGAUUGGCAGGAUGGUAGGGUGGACAAGAAUGUGCACCAGAAACAAGUGGAGGAGGAAGAACAUGAGAAGAAGAAGAAGGAGCUUGAGGAUAAAACUAUGUUUGAGAGCCAAGCUGAUAUCAUCAAGAACACCAUGA
This 579-nucleotide ribosomal RNA is filed under the name Triticum aestivum (bread wheat). RNAcentral describes it as "partial small subunit ribosomal RNA". Lineage: Eukaryota; Viridiplantae; Streptophyta; Magnoliopsida; Poales; Poaceae. The record is from RNAcentral.